ACUGAAUAGAUACCCUGGUGGUCCACGCCGUAAACGAUGAAUGCUAGCCGUUGGGCAGCUUGCUGUUCAGUGGCGCAGCUAACGCAUUAAGCAUUCCGCCUGGGGAGUACGGCCGCAGGGUUGAAACUCAAAGGAAUUGACGGGGGCCCGCACAAGCGGUGGAGCAUGUGGUUUAAUUCGACGCAACGCGCAGAACCUUACCAGGGUUUGACAUCCUGCGACCGCCUCCUAAUAGAGGUUUUCCCGCAAGGGACGCAGAGACAGGUGCUGCAUGGCUGUCGUCAGCUCGUGUCGUGAGAUGUUGGGUUAAGUCCCGCAACGAGCGCAACCCUCGCCUUUAGUUGCCAUCAUUCAGUUGGGCACUCUAGAGGGACCGCCGGCGACAAGCCGGAGGAAGGUGGGGAUGACGUCAAGUCCUCAUGGCCCUUACACCCUGGGCUACACACGUGCUACAAUGGCGGUGACAGUGGGCAGCUACUUCGCGAGAAGCGGCUAAUCCCAAAAAACCGU
RNAcentral lists this ribosomal RNA (510 nucleotides) under uncultured bacterium. RNAcentral's name for it is "bacterial SSU rRNA". It matches the Rfam family "Bacterial small subunit ribosomal RNA", at positions 772 to 1286 of the family's 1533-position model. The record is from RNAcentral.